This 591-nucleotide ribosomal RNA is filed under the name Salmostoma sladoni. Its description in RNAcentral is "partial small subunit ribosomal RNA". It matches the Rfam family "Bacterial large subunit ribosomal RNA", at positions 1832 to 2620 of the family's 2925-position model. The record is from RNAcentral. Lineage: Eukaryota; Metazoa; Chordata; Actinopteri; Cypriniformes; Danionidae.
GGGAUUGGGGAGGGGGAGGAAGGUCCAGCCUGCCCAGUGACUAUUAGUUUAACGGCCGCGGUAUUCUGACCGUGCAAAGGUAGCGCAAUCACUCGUCCUUUAAAUGGGGUCAAGUAUGAAAGGCUAGACGAGGGCUUAACUGUCUCCCCUUUAAAGUCAGUGAAAUUGAUCUGCCCGUGCAGAAGCGGGCAUUAAGAUACAAGACGAGAAGACCCUUUGGAGCUUUAGGUACAGGACUUAAUCAUAUCGAGCAAGUUAAUAAAGACUUCCAGCCUUAUGGCGUAUAAGACUCUACCUUCGGUUGGGGCGACCACGGAGAAAAGAAGAUCCUCCGAGUGGACUGGGGAAUCCCUAGAACCAAGAGAGACAUCUCUAAGCCACAGAACUUCUGACCAAUAAUGAUCCGGCCAAAAGGCCGACCAACGGACCAAGUUACCCUAGGGAUAACAGCGCAAUCCUCUCCCAGAGCCCAUAUCGACGAGGGGGUUUACGACCUCGAUGUUGGACCAGGACAUCCUAAUGGUGCAGCCGCUAUUAAGGGUUCGUUUGUUCAACGAUUAAAGUCCUACGUGAUCUGAGUUCCAGACCGGA